This 550-nucleotide ribosomal RNA is filed under the name uncultured bacterium. Its description in RNAcentral is "partial 16S ribosomal RNA". It matches the Rfam family "Bacterial small subunit ribosomal RNA", at positions 355 to 899 of the family's 1533-position model. The record is from RNAcentral.
UGGGGAAUAUUGCACAAUGGGCGAAAGCCUGAUGCAGCAACGCCGCGUGAGUGAUGAAGGCCUUCGGGUUGUAAAGCACUUUUGUCCGGAAAGAAAUCCUUGGCUCUAAUACAGUCGGGGGAUGACGGUACCGGAAGAAUAAGCACCGGCUAACUACGUGCCAGCAGCCGCGGUAAUACGUAGGGUGCAAGCGUUAAUCGGAAUUACUGGGCGUAAAGCGUGCGCAGGCGGUUUGCUAAGACCGAUGUGAAAUCCCCGGGCUCAACCUGGGAACUGCAUUGGUGACUGGCAGGCUAGAGUAUGGCAGAGGGGGGUAGAAUUCCACGUGUAGCAGUGAAAUGCGUAGAGAUGUGGAGGAAUACCGAUGGCGAAGGCAGCCCCUGGGCCAAUACUGACGCUCAUGCACGAAAGCGUGGGGAGCAAACAGGAUUAGAUACCCUGGUAGUCCACGCCCUAAACGAUGUCAACUAGUUGUUGGGGAUUCAUUUCCUUAGUAACGUAGCUAACGCGUGAAGUUGACCGCCUGGGGAGUACGGUCGCAAGAUUAAAA